UCGAGAAUCUUCCGCAAUGGGCGAAAGCCUGACGGAGCGACACCGCGUGCAGGACGAAGGCCCUCGGGUUGUAAACUGCUGUCACGCUCUAGGAAUGCCAUGUCGUUAAUAGCGGCAUGGUUGACCAAGGCGAAAGGAAGUGGCGGCUAACUCUGUGCCAGCAGCCGCGGUAAGACAGAGGCCACGAACGUUGUUCGGAAUCACUGGGCAUAAAGCGCACGUAGGCGGCUAGGUCCGUCCAAUGUGAAAGCCCCCGGCUCAACCGGGGAAUUGCAUCGGAUACAGCCUGGCUUGAGGACGGUUGGGGUGAGUGGAACUCCUGGUGGAGCGGUGAAAUGCGUAGAUAUCAGGAGGAACACCGGUGGCGAAAGCGGCUCACUGGACCGUAACUGACGCUGAGGUGCGAAAGCUAGGGGAGCAAACGGGNUUAGAUACCCACGUAGUCCCUGAGCGGGCUGGCAAGGCGCAU
Molecule: ribosomal RNA, 469 nt
Filed under: uncultured bacterium
Lineage: Bacteria
Description: bacterial SSU rRNA
Rfam family: Bacterial small subunit ribosomal RNA
Source: RNAcentral